This 72-nucleotide transfer RNA is filed under the name Nicotiana sylvestris (wood tobacco). It matches the Rfam family "tRNA". From Rfam's summary of the family: Transfer RNA (tRNA) molecules are approximately 80 nucleotides in length. Their secondary structure includes four short double-helical elements and three loops (D, anti-codon, and T loops). The record is from Rfam by way of RNAcentral. Lineage: Eukaryota; Viridiplantae; Streptophyta; Magnoliopsida; Solanales; Solanaceae.
GCCUCUAUAGCUCAGUGGUAGAGCGUCAGUCUUGUUACCUGAAGGUUCGUAGUUAGAUCCUGGGUGGGGGCA